GUGAUUAUCGUGAAUAAAAACCUCGACUUCGUCUCGGUUUUUAUUCACCGAUAAUCACCUCGCCUUCGGCAAAUAAUUGUUAAAUAAUGUCUGGUAAAACCAUGACACAUGCAUUCAUGAUUAAUUGCGUGUUCUUUUGUUGUGCACUGCUUUAAUUAGGUACAGAGGUGAGAAUAUGUGAUUUCGACCGACAAUUUUUAUUGUUCUCAUAUUCGUUCCUUUUUGCUCAGAAUGACACAAAAACAUGUCAUUGAACUGCUGAGAGCCUGAUCUUUAUGACUAUAUGCAAAAAUUACGUUACACCUCGUAGGUAACGCACUAUGACAUGCCAAAGUUGGAUUACCUUUUUUUUAUACAUGCACCCUAUAUUUAAUAAUUAUUUUACUUAAUAUUUCAUUUUAUUUUUUUUUAUUUUAUCACCUCGGGUAAUAUUGCACUGAAUCCCCCUCGCUCCAGGUCUAUAUAAAUGAUAAAUAUAUCUAGUCCUUGUCAAAAACGUUGUCCUGUGCAAUAUAGAUAUUUAUAAUAUAGCAUUUGUAAAUUCUGAAC
Non-coding RNA from Paramuricea clavata, 549 nucleotides. The record is from the annotation of a GenBank genome assembly. Lineage: Eukaryota; Metazoa; Cnidaria; Anthozoa; Malacalcyonacea; Plexauridae.